RNAcentral lists this unclassified non-coding RNA (352 nucleotides) under plant metagenome. RNAcentral describes it as "partial contains 5.8S ribosomal RNA, internal transcribed spacer 2, and large subunit ribosomal RNA". The stretch from base 1 to 106 matches the Rfam family "5.8S ribosomal RNA", at positions 49 to 154 of the family's 154-position model. The record is from RNAcentral.
UGAAAUGCGAUAAGUAAUGUGAAUUGCAGAAUCUCGUGAAUCAUCGAAUCUUUGAACGCACAUUGCGCCCUAUGGUAUUCCGUAGGGCAUGCCUGUCUGAGCGUCAGCUCCCCCCCCCCCCAUCUCAAGCAUCUUUUUUCUUAAGAAGCUUGGAUUACUUUGGAGAAGUAGUUUUUUCUUUUAUAGAAAAAAACUACUCUUCAGAAAUUCAUAGGCAGUAUGGCUCUACCUAGGCCAGAUGUAAUAAAUUAUUUACAAUCAUCUGUUUAGGGAGUUUUUGUACUUGCCUUAACCCACAGAUUCUAAUCUUGGGUGACCUCAGAUCAGGUAGGGAUACCCGCUGAACUUAAGC